UUGCUUAUGUAGCUUACCCUUUAGAACUUUCUGAAGAAGGUUCUGUUACCAACAUAUUUACUUCCAUUGUAGGUAACGUAUUUGGGUUCAAAGCCCUGUACGCUCUACGUCUGGAAGAUCUGCGAAUCCCUCCUACUUAUGUUAAAAUUUUCCAAGGUCCGCCUCAUGGGAUCCAAGUUGAAAGAGAUAAAUUGAACAAGUAUGGUUGUCCCCUGUUGGGAUGUACUAUUAAACCUAAAUUGGGGUUAUCUGCUAAAAACUACGGUAGAGCUGUUUAUGAAUAUCUUCGCGGUGGACUUGAUUUUACCAAAGAUGAUGAGAACGUGAACUCACAACCAUUUAUGCGUUGGAGAGAUCGUUUCUCGCGGUGGACUUGAUUUUACCAAUGCGAACAUGAACUCACAACCAUUUAUGCGUUGGAUAGAUCGUUUCUUAUGUUGUGCCAAAGCACUUUAUAAAGCACAAGUGAAAUCAAAGGGAAUUACUUGAAUGCUACAGGUAUAUGCAAAGAAAUGAUCAAAAGAGCUGUAUUUACUAGAGAAUUGGGCGUUCCGAUCGUAAUGCAUGACUAGUUAACAGGGGGAUUCACCGCAAAUACUAGCUUUGCUCAUUAUUUCCGAGAUAAUGGUCUACUUCUUCACGUCCACCGUGCAAUGCAUGCAGUUAUUGAUAGACAGAAGAAUCAUGGUAUCCACUUCCGCGUAUUAGCAAAAGUGUUACAAAUGUUGGGUGGAGAUCAUAUUCACUCUGGUACCCUAGUAGGUAAACUUGAAGGUGAAAGAGACAUAACUUUGGGCUUUUUUGAUUUACUGCGAGAUGAUUUUGUUGAACAAGAUCGAAGUAGAGGUAUUUAUUUCACUCAAGAUUGGGUCUCUUUACCAGGUAUUGUACCCUUGGCUUCAUGAGGCAUUCACAUUUGGCAUAUGCCUUCUCUGACUGAGAUCUUUGGGGAUGAUUCUUUACUACAGUUUGGUGGAGGAACUUUAGGAAAUCCUUGGGGAAAUGCGCCAGGUCCCGUAGCUAAUCUAGUAGCUCUAGAAGCAUGUGUACAAGCUCUUAAUGAAGGACGUGAUCUUGCUUAGGAAGGUGAUGAAAUUAUUUGCGGGGCCUGCAAAUGGAUCCCGGAACUAGCUACUGCUUGUGAAACAUGGAAAGAGAUCGUAUUUAAUUUUGCAGCAGUGGACAUUUUGGAUAAGUAAAAAUAGUAGACAUUAACAGAUAUUAGCAGGAAAUAAAGAAGGAUAAGGAGAAAGAACUCAAGUGAUUAUCCUUCGUUCUCUUAAUUGAAUUGCAAUUAAACUCGGCCCAAUCUUUUACUAAAAGGAUUGAACCGAAUACAACAAAGAUUCUAUUGCAUAUAUUUUGACUAAGUAUAUACUUACCUAGAUAUACAAGAUUUGAAAUACAAAAUCUAGAAAACUAAAUCAAAAUCUAAGACUCAAAUCUUUCUAUUGUUAUCUUGGAUCCACAAUUAAUCCUAUGGGUCCUUAGGAUUGGUAUAUUCUUUUCUAUCAUGUAGUUUGUAG
Molecule: long non-coding RNA, 1526 nt
Filed under: Nicotiana benthamiana
Lineage: Eukaryota; Viridiplantae; Streptophyta; Magnoliopsida; Solanales; Solanaceae
Description: long non-coding RNA (NBEN_LNC042296)
Source: RNAcentral